AGCCUGAACGCUGGCGGCGUGGCUAAGACAUGCAAGUCGAACGGGUGUAGCAAUACACCAGUGGCGGACGGGUGAGUAAUGUAUCGCUAACGUGCCCUGGAGCCAGGGAUAGCUGCCCGAAAGGGCAGGUAAUACCUGAUGAAAUAACCUUAUCGCAUGGUGAGGUUCUCAAAGCAGCAAUGCACUCCCGGAGCGGCG
This 198-nucleotide ribosomal RNA is filed under the name uncultured bacterium. RNAcentral's name for it is "partial small subunit ribosomal RNA". It matches the Rfam family "Bacterial small subunit ribosomal RNA", at positions 26 to 232 of the family's 1533-position model. The record is from RNAcentral.